GAUCCCAUCAGAACUCCGCAGUUAAGCGUGCCUGGGCGAGAGUAGUACUAGGAUGGGUGACCUCCUGGGAAGGCCUCGUGUUGCACCCC
This 89-nucleotide ribosomal RNA is filed under the name Gossypium arboreum. Lineage: Eukaryota; Viridiplantae; Streptophyta; Magnoliopsida; Malvales; Malvaceae. The record is from RNAcentral.